RNAcentral lists this ribosomal RNA (285 nucleotides) under Triticum aestivum (bread wheat). RNAcentral's name for it is "partial small subunit ribosomal RNA". Lineage: Eukaryota; Viridiplantae; Streptophyta; Magnoliopsida; Poales; Poaceae. The record is from RNAcentral.
AUGGAGCUGGUGAGCUGGAAUGUUCGAGGGUUGAACAGUCCAGCUAGGAGAAAAGCGUUGAGAGAGUUCGUCGAUGCCACUCGGCCGGGGAUUUGUUGUGUCCAGGAGUCCAAAUUGGAUGUUGUAGAUCAAUUUACCAUUCUACAAUGCUUUGGUCCAUCGUAUGAUGGUUUUUAUUACUUGCCGGCCAUUGGGACCCGAGGUGGUAUCAUUUUGGUGUGGACUCAUCGAUCGCUACCAUCACUAACGGUGUGCGUGACUCUAAUUUUAUUACGGCUUACGUGA